GGGAAGACACAGAAGUCUGAAGAGACUGAUAGAGGAGGGAGACAGGGAUGGGCAGAAGACAACUAGAGGUCUGAAGAGACUGAUAGAGGAGGAGACAGGGAUGGGCAGAAGACAACUAGAGGUCUGAAGAGACUGAUAGAGGAGGAGACAGGGAUGGGCAGAAGACAACUAGAGGUCUGAAGAGACUAAAGAAAGAAGGAGAGUGAGAAAGAGACUUCUACCUGAGACUGAACUGUCUGCACACACACACACACACACACACACACACACACACACACACACACACACACACACACACACACACACACACACACACACACACACACACACACACACACAGUCCGUUAGCGCUGACAGUGCAGGGCUUAGUUGCAUGUGACAGCAGGAUGAGCAGGGCCUGGUUCCCAAGGAAACAGCAGAGUCAGCCAUGACACACAAAUCUAUGAUUGCUGACUGUCAUGACAUUUUGUAUAUAUUUGUAUUUGUAUUUUAUUGGUUAUGUAUGUGUUUUUAUGUCUGAGUGCUUGCGUCUAAAACAUUGGUUCAACAUGUGCCAUUGUUAGAAUAGUGAUUUUCGAUGGAUGGCGCAGACCUGGGUUCAGAUACAUGUGUAUUGAGUAUUUGUUAUUCAAAUAUUUUGUUUUGUGUAUUUAAGUAUUUUCAAAUAAACAGCUCAAAACAAGUACUUUUAAUUGAGCAUUUGAAUGGUUAUUUGUGAAAAAAACAAAUAGUCAACCAAAUUGAAUCUGAAAGUAUUUUCAAAUAUUUAUUUCAUAUACUGUCACGGAUUUCCUCCUCUUCAUCUGAAGAGGAGAGGCGAGAAGGAUCGGAGGAAUAAUAUGCGGCGUGGUAAGUGUCCAUGGUUCUUUUAAUAUGUAAAUGUACACAUGAACACUACAAAACAAUAAACAUGGAAAACCUAAACAGUCCUAUCUGGUGCAGAGACAGAGACAGGAACAAUCACCCACAAACACACAGUGAACCCAGGCUACCUAAGUAUGAUUCUCAAUCAGAGACAACUAAUGACACCUGCCUCUGAUUGAGAACCAUACUAGGCCGAAACAUAGAAAUACCCAAAUCAUAGAAAAACAAACAUAGACUGCCCACCCCAACUCACACCCUGACCAAACUAAAUAAUGACAAAAACAAAGGAAAUAAAGGUCAGAACGUGACAUAUACUCGUAUUUGAGUCAGUGUAUUUGAGUAUUUCCUACUACUUUCUAAGUGUAUUUACAAAUAAAUUUCAAUAUUCAGCUACUUGUUUUUUUUUCAAAUAAAUUUGAUCUGAAUACUUGUUUUGAAAUGUAUUGAAAAGUAAUUGAAAUGCCUUAAAUAGCAUUUGAACCCAGGUCUGGCAUGGCUUAUACCAACAUUGGUCUGAUGUUUGUUUUUGAUACGAAUAAUAAAAUACAGAAAAACUUUC
This is a long non-coding RNA of Oncorhynchus tshawytscha (Chinook salmon), 1423 nucleotides long. Lineage: Eukaryota; Metazoa; Chordata; Actinopteri; Salmoniformes; Salmonidae. The record is from Ensembl.